AUUUUUCCAUUGACUNUUUGUNGACUCCAAAUUUUGACCUUUAAGUACUUUUUCGGGCAUUUUCGUGGUUUGUGCUAUAUUACGGACCCCAAAUUACUCUUUUAAGCAUUGUUUUCGAAUAUUUUUCAUGCAUCAAAGCUCGUUAAGACUAGAUGGGGUAUCCCUACAUGGCGGGUGGGACCCUCGGCGAACGGUUCAUCAGAACUUAAAAAAAGAAUAUAUACGAUUGCAUUGCAUAUACUAACGGAUGCGAUCAUACCAGCACUAAUGCACCGGAUCCCAUCAGAACUCCGCAGUUAAGCGUGCUUGGGCGAGAGUAGUAACUAGGAUGGGUGACCUUCCGGGAAGUUCCUCGUGUUGCAUCCCUCUUUUUUUUUUUUUUUUUUUGG
RNAcentral lists this ribosomal RNA (389 nucleotides) under Arabidopsis thaliana (thale cress). The record is from RNAcentral. Lineage: Eukaryota; Viridiplantae; Streptophyta; Magnoliopsida; Brassicales; Brassicaceae.